ACUCAAAUGAAUUGACGGGGUCUCGCACAAGCGGUGGAGCGUGUUGUUUAAUUCGAUGGUAAGCGUAGAACCUUACCAGGGUUUGACAUCCCGAUAGCCGUUUUCUGAAAGGAAAACUUCAUUUAGUUGGAUCGGUGACAGGUGAUGCAUGGCCGUCGUCAGCUCGUGUCGUGAGAUGUAUGGUUAAGUCCAUCAACGAGCGCAACCCUUAUGGUUAGUUGAAUUUCUCUAGCCAGACUGCCCCGGUAACGGGGAGGAAGGAGGGGAUGAUGUCAGGUCAGUAUUUCCCUUACACCCUGGGCGACAAACACGCUACAAUGGCCGGUACAAAGGGCAGCCAACCCGCGAGGGGGAGCAAAUCCCAUCAAAGCCGGUCUCAGUUCGGAUUGCAGGCUGAAACUCGCCUGCAUGAAGCUGGAAUCGCUAGUAACGGUAAGUCAGCACAUUACCGUGAAUACGUUCCCGAGACUUGUACACACCGCCCGU
Molecule: ribosomal RNA, 486 nt
Filed under: uncultured bacterium
Lineage: Bacteria
Description: partial 16S ribosomal RNA
Rfam family: Bacterial small subunit ribosomal RNA
Source: RNAcentral